Molecule: ribosomal RNA, 454 nt
Filed under: uncultured bacterium
Lineage: Bacteria
Description: bacterial SSU rRNA
Rfam family: Bacterial small subunit ribosomal RNA
Source: RNAcentral
UACGGGAGGCAGCAGUGGGGAAUAUUGCACAAUGGGCGAAAGCCUGAUGCAGCUAUGCCGCGUGUAUGAAGAAGGCCUUAGGGUUGUAAAGUACUUUCAUCGGGGAGGAAAAACAAACUAAUAAUUUUAUUUCUUGACGUUACCCGAAAAAGAAGCACCGGCUAACUCCGUGCCAGCAGCCGCGGUAAUACGGAGGGUGCUAGCGUUAAUCAGAAUUACUGGGCGUAAAGAGCACGUAGGUGGUUUUUUUAAGUCAGAUGUGAAAUCCCUGGGCUUAACCUAGGAACUGCAUUUUGAAACUGAAACACUAGAGUAUCGUAGAGGGAGGUAGAAUUCUAGGUGUAGCGGUGAAAUGCGUAGAUAUCUGGAGGAAUACCUGUGGCGAAAGCGGCCUCCUAAACGAAUACUGACACUGAGGUGCGAAAGCGUGGGGAGCAAACAGGGAUUAGAUACC